AUACUGGGUUUGGGAGAGUGUCGCGCCGGGCGGCCACGAAAACACAGCGCGUCGAGGCCGAUUUAUCCGCGGGUCGCCUCUUCCCUUCCGCAGACUACCACACCCACGCAGCCGAGAUGCCGCGUCUACCGUCCGGGUUUCCGGGGCCGGGUUCGGCUCCAAGGCGCGGAGGAGGAAGAGGUAAAGCACAAACGAGUGGGCUGCGGCGGUUGAAGAUUUGAAAACGCGUCACGCGGCCGCGGCGCCCAUACGCGCGCCCCGCCCUCUCUCACGCCGCGCGCCGCGCCCCCACGUGCCUGCCUCCUGGCGCUGCGCGCCCCGCCCCCACGGGCCGCGUCUCCGCCCCUCGCCCCUCCCCCAUAGCUGUGCCUUCCAGGCCAGUGGUCACCGCUCUCCGCCGGUGGCUUUGGGUCCCACCGCUACCGUGGAGUCCUUGUGGCUCCUUGUUUACCAAACGUAGUGAAUGCAGUUAGCCCAGGUGGCCAGCCCAACCCUCCACCAGGGUCAUUCCCGCCUACUAAGAUUGCCGGGACCGCUAGCCCUCCAGCUUCCUCCUUCACCAGAUUUUCAGCUACUGAUGUUACAAACAAAAUAUUGCAGCAUAGAGUUGAGGAAAAGACUUAAACCAGGUGAGUAGUAAGAAAAGUCCGAAGAAAUGAUAAGACUACCAUUUUUAUGAAGUUCAUUAUUGGGAUGAUUGAUAAAAUUGGAAUAUGAACCAUAGGAUACUCUCUAAAUUAAGUUUCCUCAAAUUGAUAAUGUUACUGUGAAAUGUAAGAAUAUUCUGAGGUAAGGCACCCGGAUGACUCAGUUGGUCAAGCAUCUGACUUCACCUCAGGUCACGAUCUCACAGUUUGUGCUUUUGAGCCCAGGUCAGGCUCUGUGAUGAGACAGCUCAGAGCCUGGAGCCUGGUUCAGAUUCUGUGGUCUCCCUCUCUCUCUACCACUCUCCCAUCAUUUUAUAGAUGAUUUAAUGCUCUGUCUCUCUCUUUCUCUCUCUCAAAAACAUAAACAUUAAAAAAAAUUUUUUUAAGAAUAUUCUGAGGUUUUUAGGAUGAAGAGUUGUGAUGUAUUCAACCUACUUUCAAAUUGUUCACAAAAAAGUAAGUGGUACCAAAGUGUGUUUGUGAGAGAGAGAGAGAGAGAGAGAGGGAGAGGGAGAGAGAGAGAGUUUGGUGAAAUUCUGGGUUAAUAGGAACUCAUUUAUUUCCAGUGAAAGUAUAAAUUGGUCCAGUCUUUCUGGAAAGCAUUUUGGCAAUUUAUCUCAAGUUUUUAGUUAAGCCUAGUAAGCUUACUUUUUCUUACAUAGUAAUUCUAGGAAGACUACAAAAAACUAUGUAUAUGAGGAUAUUUAUACAAGAGUGUAUGAGUGAAUGAAUAAUGAAAAUUUGACAGUGACCUAAAUAUCCAACAAUGUGAGACUGAUUAAAUAUAAUCAAAAACUCAAAGUAUUAGAAAUGAUAGUAUAGGGGCGCCUGGGUGGCGCAGUCGGUUAAGCGUCCGACUUCAGCCAGGUCACGAUCUCGCGGUCUGUGAGUUUGAGCCCCGCGUCAGGCUCUGGGCUGAUGGCUCGGAACCUGGAGCCUGUUUCCGAUUCUGUGUCUCCCUCUCACUCUGCCCCUCCCCCGUUCAUGCUCUGUCUCUCUCUGUCCCAAAAAUAAAUAAACGUUGAAAAAAAAAAUUAAAAAAAAA
Molecule: long non-coding RNA, 1692 nt
Filed under: Felis catus (domestic cat)
Lineage: Eukaryota; Metazoa; Chordata; Mammalia; Carnivora; Felidae
Description: lncRNA (ENSFCAG00000052916.1)
Source: RNAcentral